AUUGAACGCUGGCGGCAGGCCUAACACAUGCAAGUCGAACGAGUGGCGGACGGGUGAGUAAUGUCUGGGAAACUGCACGACGGAGGGGGAUAACUACUGGAAACGGUAGCUAAUACCGCAUACCAUCGGAUGUGCCCAGGUGGGAUUAGCUAGUUGGUGGGGUAACGGCUCACCUAGGCGACGAUCCCUAGCUGGUCUGAGAGGAUGACCAGCCACACUGGGACUGAGACACGGUCCAGACUCCUACGGGAGGCAGCAGUGGGGAAUAUUGGACAAUGGGCGCAAGCCUGAUGCAGCCAUGCCGCGUGUAUGAAGAAGGCCUUCGGGUUGUAAAGUACUUUCGGCGAGGAGGCGUUACUCGCAGAAGAAGCACCGGCUAACUCCGUGCCAGCAGCCGCGGUAAUUC
RNAcentral lists this ribosomal RNA (406 nucleotides) under uncultured bacterium. Its description in RNAcentral is "partial 16S ribosomal RNA". It matches the Rfam family "Bacterial small subunit ribosomal RNA", at positions 30 to 526 of the family's 1533-position model. The record is from RNAcentral.